Long non-coding RNA from Toxorhynchites rutilus septentrionalis, 780 nucleotides. RefSeq lists it as uncharacterized. NCBI's taxonomy places the organism in Eukaryota, Metazoa, Arthropoda, Insecta, Diptera, Culicidae. The transcript has 2 exons. The record is from RefSeq and is a predicted model, not a curated record.
CUCUACGGCAUUUCCACGGAUUGUGACAAAUUGUUUCUCCUUUCGGCGGACGUCUUCUGCAUUGUUGAUUGGUAGCGUGAAUUUGGAUAACGUUAGGAAAGCAGUUAGAUUAGCCGUGUAAAACGAUAAUUAGUAACCCGUAAAUGAUCGGACCAACGGCCAGAAGCGAUAUGAGGAUCAGGAUCCACACAUCUGAGUCGAAGGGAGCCAGCAGGCCAGAACCACUGGCCGAUUCCAUUGGUCGCACCAUAAUCAUCAUCCACUCGCCUUCGUCCAGCCCGGUCGAGUAGAAUAUGUGCUGUCGGGCAUCGGACAAAAUUGGCAGAAACGCUACCGCGAUGUCGGCCUUUCCUGUCGCUAGCAGUUCGAUGAUGCUGCCCUCCAUGUCUGUGGUGGAGCCAACGAUGUUAUGCUCCGGCAUGACUAGUGUAUAGUUGAAUUUGAACUUCUCCAUAAGAAAGUCGAGCAGCUCGAAAGCUACACCACGUCCAAAUAAGGUUCCAUUGAUACGUUCGGUGUAGCUUAGCGGCCAAUCCUAACCAGAGAUGGUAGGAAAUACAUGUUGUAAUAAUUGAGAAACAACAUUAUGUUGAAACGUUUUUAAGGAAUGCUCUAUGAUAUGUUUAUCUUAGGAUGAAAAUCCCAUUAGUUCAAGCUUUAAAUAAAAAGUGGAACGAUCAAAAUUUAGCCAAAGACCUUAUUUUUUAGUAUUUUGAUCUAUAUUAUAUAAGGGAAAAAUAUUAGUUAAAUUAGUAAAAUAUAAGUUUCGCUUUGCCAAAA